Molecule: ribosomal RNA, 254 nt
Filed under: uncultured bacterium
Lineage: Bacteria
Description: partial 16S ribosomal RNA
Rfam family: Archaeal small subunit ribosomal RNA
Source: RNAcentral
UACCAGCACCCCGAGUGGUCGGGACGUUUUAUUGGGCCUAAAGCAUCCGUAGCCGGUUCUGCAAGUCUUCCGUUAAAUCCACCUGCUUAACAGAUGGGCCGCGGAAGAUACUAUAGAGCUAGGAGGCGGGAGAGGCAAGCGGUACUCGAUGGGUAGGGGUAAAAUCCGUUGAUCCAUUGAAGACCACCAGUGGCGAAGGCGGCUUGCCAGAACGCGCUCGACGGUGAGGGAUGAAAGCUGGGGGAGCAAACAGG